RNAcentral lists this ribosomal RNA (446 nucleotides) under uncultured bacterium. Its description in RNAcentral is "partial 16S ribosomal RNA". It matches the Rfam family "Bacterial small subunit ribosomal RNA", at positions 338 to 795 of the family's 1533-position model. The record is from RNAcentral.
CCUACGGGAGGCAGCAGUCGAGAAUCAUUCACAAUGGGGGAAACCCUGAUGGUGCGACGCCGCGUGGGGGAAUGAAGGUCUUCGGAUUGUAAACCCCUGUCAUGUGGGAGCAAAUUAAAAAGAUAGUACCACAAGAGGAAGAGACGGCUAACUCUGUGCCAGCAGCCGCGGUAAUACAGAGGUCUCAAGCGUUGUUCGGAAGCACUGGGGGUAAAGGGUGCGUAGGCUGUUUCGUAAGUCGUGUGUGAAAGGCGCGGGCUCAACCCGCGGACGGCACGUGAUACUGCGAGACUAGAGUAAUGGAGGGGGAACCGGAAUUCUCGGUGUAGCAGUGAAAUGCGUAGAUAUCGAGAGGAACACUCGUGGCGAAGGCGGGUUCCUGGACAUUAACUGACGCUGAGGCACGAAGGCCAGGGGAGCGAAAGGGAUUAGAUACCCCGGUAGUC